AAACAGAUUCAAUAAUUAAUCUACAACAAAGUAGGUGAUUACUAGUUGUUAAUUAAUUCUAGAAUCAAGACAUGAAACUAAAGAAACAAUAAGAUGAAACUAAGAAUCUAAAAUUUUGAGCUCGGAAAUAUUGCGUGAACAGUAGCAGUGAUGACAUAGCAGCCACGUAUUAGUUUGAUUUUAUCAAGUGGUUAUUCUCAAAUGUUCAAGUCUUGGUUGGUCAAAAAUUAAUUUAGAUUGGUGGAAUUUGUUUUAGGAGGGAAAAUAAGUCAUGGAGCCUUUUUCAAUUUCCAAGACUUGACUUUUUCUUGUACUUCUCCUUAAAACAUGGACCCUUGUUUCAUGGGAAAGUGGUUGAGAGAUGAUGUAAAGUCUUUAGUGUGUAGGAAAAGUCUUUGAGUCACAAGUACUACACCUUGAAACUUGGAUCUAUGUCUUGCAAGACGAACACAAUACACACUCUUUUUCUUCAACUUCUAAGAUAUACAACCACUUUUUUUUCAACAAUAUAUGGAGAUGGUGAAGAACACCAAGAACACAAACUUUGAGUCUUGAAGUUCUAAGGUUCAAGUUGGACCUCCCAAACAACAACAACAACUUCCCAAGCUU
This 609-nucleotide long non-coding RNA is filed under the name Capsicum annuum. RNAcentral describes it as "long non-coding RNA (CANN_LNC009775)". Lineage: Eukaryota; Viridiplantae; Streptophyta; Magnoliopsida; Solanales; Solanaceae. The record is from RNAcentral.